This is a long non-coding RNA of Gorilla gorilla gorilla (western lowland gorilla), 1969 nucleotides long. RefSeq lists it as uncharacterized. The transcript is spliced from 8 exons. NCBI's taxonomy places the organism in Eukaryota, Metazoa, Chordata, Mammalia, Primates, Hominidae. The record is from RefSeq and is a predicted model, not a curated record.
CCUUGAUGUCUUGUUAAUCAAGAGGCCAAAUGGAGUUUGUCCGGCUUUCCCAGCUAAGGGAGAGUCUUAUUCAUAUGGGAAACAAGGCUGGGUAAUUAAGGAGACAAAAGGGAGAAUUUAAAAAUAACGAGUUAGAGUAAAAACAAGGUUAGGCAUUACAACAGUAAGUUAUAUUAAGACAAUAUUUUGGCCGGGCGUGGUGGCUCACGCCUGUAAUACCUAGCACUUUGGGAGGCCGAGGCGGGCAGAUCACGAGGUCAGGAGAUCAAGACCGUCCUGGCUAACACUGUGAAACACCAUCUCUGCUAAAAAUACAAAAAAUUAGCUGGGCGUGGCAGGGGGCGCCUGUAGUCCCAGCUGCUCGGGAGGCUGAGGCAGGAGAAUGGCGUGAACCUGGGAGGCGGAGCUUGCAGUGAGCCGAGAUAGUGCCACUGCCCUCCAGCCUGGGCAACAGAGCAAGACUCCACCUCAAAAAAAAAAAAGACAUAAUAUUUUUAAUGUUUUUUACUAGCUUAUAUUCUGUACAUCUUUUCACAUGUAGAAAUGUUAAUGGCUGGGCACAGUGGCUCACGCUUGUAAUCCCAGCACUUUGGGAGGCUGAGGCAGGAGAAUCACUUGAGCCCAGGAGUUGGAGACCAGCCUGGGAAACAUGGCAAAUAAAAACCGCAGUUUAAACUCUGAGUUUCAAUCAGAAACUAACAGCUCUUGGAUUUCCCGGGGCUCACACUCCUCUGAAACAACUCACGAAGAGCCUGAGGAAGCAGUUCUCACUGGUAGAAACAGAACAGAAAGCCAUUCUUGAUUUUGGUGACUGGAGUUUGUGGAGGCUGGAAGUCUCUGCCAAUAAAAGCACUGAACCAGACACACACCACUUACCAAUCAAGUUGAUUCUCAAUGUUAGCACCGUGGCCUGGCAAGAUCGGACGUUUUCCGAGGAACCCGACUGAGCUCCUGUGAGAGCUGCUCCCUGCACUGAUGUGGUCCCUUGGCUGGCAGGCUGCUCUGUGAUCAACCAGGUGACACCUGCCUGUUAUGAGGGACAGGUAGGAGAGGAUGGGCUUUCCAUCAAAACAAACAAACAAAAAAAAAAGUCCCAAGAAGGAACUCGGCCCUUCAGAGAUUCAGGACUCGGGAGAAGACUUCGUGGUGACAGUUGACGUAGAAGUUGACAGCCCAAACCCCACACCAGUUCUUAGAAGUAUUGAUCUCCAAGAAAGAGCAGAAAGAGCUACAACUCCUGCUCCCAGGGACUUACAGGAUCUAAAAAAUCUUUGUGCAGCCAUCUGGACCUCAGUAUGAAGUGGUGUUAAAAGGUGAAGUCCAUUCUUCAGGAAGUAAACCUCUGCCACGUGGAUCAUGCUCAGACAUCCUAUUGAAGUUUGUCCAACAAUUUCUUGCUUUGGAAGGUGUCCCUCUUGGUGGAACACAGUUUCACCUUUUGCUGGAACUCAGAGCUACAAAUGAUGCUUAAUGUACCAACGCCUUCUGACUGAGCUCCUCUCUGCCCUGAAUACAAGAGACCCUAAUAGUUAUGUGGAAAUAUCAUCGCCCCGUUCAGCAUGAAGAAGUUACAAACGACGGACCUUCAUCCUUCUGCAACCCUUAGGAUUAAGGGUCCUCUUGUAAAAGGGAGGGGAAAUAUGUAAGAAGCAUUCAAACCAGAGCGACUCCAUUUUGAACAAGGGCUAAGAAAAAUGAAGCUGGGUCCUGUUGGGCUGCAUGCCCAGGAGGUUAAGCAUUCUUAGCCUCAAGAUGUUUACAAUUGAGGGAACAGAUUAAUAAUGUUUCCUAAACAGACUCAGGACUUAACAGACUCAGGAACGUCUUGAUACUUUGAGAACAAAAGCACUUCUAGUUUUAAAUACGCAUUGUACCUAGGAUGGAUGCUUUUCUUACUUUUGGAAAUGCCCUACCCUGUCUAUGGAGUCACUAUUCAUUCCCUCCUUUAUUAAAGUUUCUUCUAUUUUGC